GAAAGAAAAAGAGUGGCGAACGGGUGAGUAACACGUGGGUAACCUGCCCAUCAGAAGGGGAUAACACUUGGAAACAGGUGCUAAUACCGUAUAACACUAUUUUCCGCAUGGAAGAAAGUUGAAAGGCGCUUUUGCGUCACUGAUGGAUGGACCCGCGGUGCAUUAGCUAGUUGGUGAGGUAACGGCUCACCAAGGCAACGAUGCAUAGCCGACCUGAGAGGGUGAUCGGCCACACUGGGACUGAGACACGGCCCAGACUCCUACGGGAGGCAGCAGUAGGGAAUCUUCGGCAAUGGACGAAAGUCUGACCGAGCAACGCCGCGUGAGUGAAGAAGGUUUUCGGAUCGUAAAACUCUGUUGUUAGAGAAGAACAAGGAUGAGAGUAAAAUGUUCAUCCCUUGACGGUAUCUAACCAGAAAGCCACGGCUAACUACGUGCCAGCAGCCGCGGUAAUACGUAGGUGGCAAGCGUUGUCCGGAUUUAUUGGGCGUAAAGCGAGCGCAGGCGGUUUCUUAAGUCUGAUGUGAAAGCCCCCGG
Molecule: ribosomal RNA, 537 nt
Filed under: Enterococcus sp. LIPOA/UEL_52
Lineage: Bacteria; Bacillati; Bacillota; Bacilli; Lactobacillales; Enterococcaceae
Description: bacterial SSU rRNA
Rfam family: Bacterial small subunit ribosomal RNA
Source: RNAcentral